UUCUUUCUCCACCUUCAACAUGAUGGUGAGAAUUCACUUCACCCUCAACAUUUUGAAUCUGUUCAACCUCCCCAUCUUUCUCUAGCGAGUCUUCAACAAUUCGAUUCAGCAGAUCCUCAGAAUCUGAGUCAAUUCCCAAACUAAAAGAUGGUGCUUUUAUAGCCAUUUUCUUGAAAGCCAUUUUCUUGAAUUAUGCAGAAGAAUAGAAGGAACACUAAGUUUCUCUCUGAACAGCCUUUUUAUAAUAAGUGGAAGAAAACAUUGGCUUGGGCUUCGUGGAGUUACUAUAGAGGGAGAGGAGUAUAGAGAGCCGUUUCAGUUUUUCAAUACAUUCAUUAAAACCUGGUUUGGAGAAUUGCAUUCGCGUGGAAAACUGUGAUGGAAAUUGGAGUAUUAAACUAAGGGCAUUUUUGGUAUAUUAGCCUUAAAUAUGAUGAAAAAAGUCAAUUUUGCUUAUAUUUUGUCACAAGUAAGAUAGUUGAAUUUU
This 487-nucleotide long non-coding RNA is filed under the name Medicago truncatula (barrel medic). Its description in RNAcentral is "lncRNA gene2779". The record is from RNAcentral. Lineage: Eukaryota; Viridiplantae; Streptophyta; Magnoliopsida; Fabales; Fabaceae.